UUAAGUUAUUAAGGGCGCACGGUGGAUGCCUUGGCACUAGAAGCCGAUGAAGGACGUUACUAACGACGAUAUGCUUUGGGGAGCUGUAAGUAAGCUUUGAUCCAGAGAUUUCCGAAUGGGGAAACCCAGCAUGAGUUAUGUCAUGUUAUCGAUAUGUGAAUACAUAGCAUAUCAGAAGGCACACCCGGAGAACUGAAACAUCUUAGUACCCGGAGGAAGAGAAAGAAAAUUCGAUUCCCUUAGUAGCGGCGAGCGAAACGGGAAGAGCCCAAACCAACAAGCUUGCUUGUUGGGGUUGUAGGACACUCUAUACGGAGUUACAAAGGACGACAUUAGACGAAUCAUCUGGAAAGAUGAAUCAAAGAAGGUAAUAAUCCUGUAGUCGAAAAUGUUGUCUCUCUUGAGUGGAUCCUGAGUACGACGGAGCACGUGAAAUUCCGUCGGAAUCUGGGAGGACCAUCUCCUAAGGCUAAAUACUCUCUAGUGACCGAUAGUGAACCAGUACCGUGAGGGAAAGGUGAAAAGCACCCCGGAAGGGGAGUGAAAUAGAACCUGAAACCGUGUGCUUACAAGUAGUCAGAGCCCGUUAAUGGGUGAUGGCGUGCCUUUUGUAGAAUGAACCGGCGAGUUACGAUUUGAUGCAAGGUUAAGCAGUAAAUGUGGAGCCGUAGCGAAAGCGAGUCUGAAUAGGGCGUUUAGUAUUUGGUCGUAGACCCGAAACCAGGUGAUCUACCCUUGGUCAGGUUGAAGUUCAGGUAACACUGAAUGGAGGACCGAACCGACUUACGUUGAAAAGUGAGCGGAUGAACUGAGGGUAGCGGAGAAAUUCCAAUCGAACCUGGAGAUAGCUGGUUCUCUCCGAAAUAGCUUUAGGGCUAGCCUCAAGUGAUGAUUAUUGGAGGUAGAGCACUGUUUGGACGAGGGGCCCCUCUCGGGUUACCGAAUUCAGACAAACUCCGAAUGCCAAUUAAUUUAACUUGGGAGUCAGAACAUGGGUGAUAAGGUCCGUGUUCGAAAGGGAAACAGCCCAGACCACCAGCUAAGGUCCCAAAAUAUAUGUUAAGUGGAAAAGGAUGUGGCGUUGCCCAGACAACUAGGAUGUUGGCUUAGAAGCAGCCAUCAUUUAAAGAGUGCGUAAUAGCUCACUAGUCGAGUGACACUGCGCCGAAAAUGUACCGGGGCUAAACAUAUUACCGAAGCUGUGGAUUGUCCUUUGGACAAUGGUAGGAGAGCGUUCUAAGGGCGUUGAAGCAUGAUCGUAAGGACAUGUGGAGCGCUUAGAAGUGAGAAUGCCGGUGUGAGUAGCGAAAGACGGGUGAGAAUCCCGUCCACCGAUUGACUAAGGUUUCCAGAGGAAGGCUCGUCCGCUCUGGGUUAGUCGGGUCCUAAGCUGAGGCCGACAGGCGUAGGCGAUGGAUAACAGGUUGAUAUUCCUGUACCACCUAUAAUCGUUUUAAUCGAUGGGGGGACGCAGUAGGAUAGGCGAAGCGUGCGAUUGGAUUGCACGUCUAAGCAGUAAGGCUGAGUAUUAGGCAAAUCCGGUACUCGUUAAGGCUGAGCUGUGAUGGGGAGAAGACAUUGNGUCUUCGAGUCGUUGAUUUCACACUGCCGAGAAAAGCCUCUAGAUAGAAAAUAGGUGCCCGUACCGCAAACCGACACAGGUAGUCAAGAUGAGAAUUCUAAGGUGAGCGAGCGAACUCUCGUUAAGGAACUCGGCAAAAUGACCCCGUAACUUCGGGAGAAGGGGUGCUCUUUAGGGUUAACGCCCAGAAGAGCCGCAGUGAAUAGGCCCAAGCGACUGUUUAUCAAAAACACAGGUCUCUGCUAAACCGUAAGGUGAUGUAUAGGGGCUGACGCCUGCCCGGUGCUGGAAGGUUAAGAGGAGUGGUUAGCUUCUGCGAAGCUACGAAUCGAAGCCCCAGUAAACGGCGGCCGUAACUAUAACGGUCCUAAGGUAGCGAAAUUCCUUGUCGGGUAAGUUCCGACCCGCACGAAAGGCGUAACGAUUUGGGCACUGUCUCAACGAGAGACUCGGUGAAAUCAUAGUACCUGUGAAGAUGCAGGUUACCCGCGACAGGACGGAAAGACCCCGUGGAGCUUUACUGUAGCCUGAUAUUGAAAUUCGGCACAGCUUGUACAGGAUAGGUAGGAGCCUUUGAAACGUGAGCGCUAGCUUACGUGGAGGCGCUGGUGGGAUACUACCCUAGCUGUGUUGGCUUUCUAACCCGCACCACUUAUCGUGGUGGGAGACAGUGUCANNNNNNNNNNGCGGGCAGUUUGACUGGGGCGGUCGCCUCCUAAAAGGUAACGGAGGCGCUCAAAGGUUCCCUCAGAAUGGUUGGAAAUCAUUCAUAGAGUGUAAAGGCAUAAGGGAGCUUGACUGCGAGACCUACAAGUCGAGCAGGGUCGAAAGACGGACUUAGUGAUCCGGUGGUUCCGCAUGGAAGGGCCAUCGCUCAACGGAUAAAAGCUACCCCGGGGAUAACAGGCUUAUCUCCCCCAAGAGUUCACAUCGACGGGGAGGUUUGGCACCUCGAUGUCGGCUCAUCGCAUCCUGGGGCUGUAGUCGGUCCCAAGGGUUGGGCUGUUCGCCCAUUAAAGCGGUACGCGAGCUGGGUUCAGAACGUCGUGAGACAGUUCGGUCCCUAUCCGUCGUGGGCGUAGGAAAUUUGAGAGGAGCUGUCCUUAGUACGAGAGGACCGGGAUGGACAUACCUCUGGUGUACCAGUUGUCGUGCCAACGGCAUAGCUGGGUAGCUAUGUGUGGACGGGAUAAGUGCUGAAAGCAUCUAAGCAUGAAGCCCCCCUCAAGAUGAGAUUUCCCAACUUCGGUUAUAAGAUCCCUCAAAGAUGAUGAGGUUAAUAGGUUCGAGGUGGAAGCAUGGUGACAUGUGGAGCUGACGAAUACUAAUCGAUCGAAGACUUAAUCAA
Molecule: ribosomal RNA, 2930 nt
Filed under: Staphylococcus aureus
Lineage: Bacteria; Bacillati; Bacillota; Bacilli; Caryophanales; Staphylococcaceae
Description: 23S ribosomal RNA
Rfam family: Bacterial large subunit ribosomal RNA
Source: RNAcentral